This 253-nucleotide ribosomal RNA is filed under the name uncultured bacterium. Its description in RNAcentral is "partial 16S ribosomal RNA". It matches the Rfam family "Bacterial small subunit ribosomal RNA", at positions 524 to 776 of the family's 1533-position model. The record is from RNAcentral.
UACGUAGGGUGCAAGCGUUGUCCGGAAUUAUUGGGCGUAAAGAGCUCGUAGGCGGUCUGUCGCGUCUGCUGUGAAAACUCAGGGCUUAACCCUGAGCUUGCAGUGGGUACGGGCAGACUAGAGUGCGGUAGGGGAGACUGGAAUUCCUGGUGUAGCGGUGAAAUGCGCAGAUAUCAGGAGGAACGCCGGUGGCGAAGGCGGGUCUCUGGGCCGUAACUGACGCUGAGGAGCGAAAGCAUGGGGAGCGAACAGG